AGGACCGAGGAGCGCGCCGGCCGCGGACGGGGCCCGCCGCCCGGGCCUCGGCGGCAGCCAACUCCCGCCUCCUCGGCGGCCGCCAUCCGCGAGUGGGAGGUGCAGUCCCCCUGCCAGGGGCGUCCCUUCGCCUCACGCGCCCCAGAACGCACCCGAGACCCUGUGGGGGUGCCAAAGGCUGACACAGCCACGAAGAGACUGGACAGCAGCCAGGGACCCGUGGGAAGGCGUGUCGGGGGUUGAGAGCUUGGGUAAUGCGGGAAUUCGAGGUUCUGGCCCAAUCCCUGAUGUGGGAAGGACUAUUCUGAAGCAAACAAAAUUACAUCAAGUAUGACCACUGUGAAAUGAAAGAAAGUCAUCGCCAGUCCAGUUUUUCAGUGGAUUCUGAAGAGAUCAGUGAAGAUGUCAAAAUUUUCCUUAUGGACCCAUUUAUUCUCCAGCAGAGGCACGAGACUUUCUAAUAUUGUGACUAUCUAUUCUUAAUACAGGCUUCAUACUAGACACAUAGUCUACAUAAGUGGUCAGAUGUGUGUGCAGAGUUCCCACUGGGAAGACAUUGAUAGGAGAUCUGAAUUGGAGGAUCCACAGUCAGUUUGCCCAUCAUCCCCCUUCUACACACAGGAGCACACACACAACAAUGUGUGAGAACCUAGGCAGGAAAGUUGAUUCUUUUUUCCCCAAACUAGCUUAUGUAGCUUUUGCCUGUGGCUUUACCUCUGAAUGGACAGUGUAUGGUAUGGGUGGAAAGUAAGAAAGGCCCCAACUAGGGGGCCCUUUUCAAUGGAGGAAUGGGGGCAGUUAAAAGAUUCAAAGAUAUCCAUUUGAGGUGAUGAUGCAAACCUGCAGGCAGAUGGGGCAGGGGCACUCAGGAGGUUGACUCUCCACUUGAAAGCUUAAUACCUUGGGGAUAUCUCAUGCAAGAGAAAAUUAAAACUAGAGUGGCUGGAAUUCUUUACAUUUCUGCUCUGAAAUACAAGGGAAGAUUUCACAGGACUUGGAUAGUGACUUAGUUCUUGACAGCAACAGAGAAAAACUUGAAAAUGAAUUUAAAGCCUUCCUUCUUUUGUGAUUCCUCUGAGUGCAACUGGUACUUUAAAAAUGCCAUUAAGUAAGGGAGGGGGUGGGGGGCAGGAGGGAGAAAUGACACAAGCCUUGUAUGCACAUAUGAAUAAUAAAAC
RNAcentral lists this long non-coding RNA (1178 nucleotides) under Castor canadensis (American beaver). RNAcentral's name for it is "lncRNA (ENSCCNG00000000657.1)". Lineage: Eukaryota; Metazoa; Chordata; Mammalia; Rodentia; Castoridae. The record is from RNAcentral.